CCAAGACCCUCAGCGCCCGUCCCAGGCCCUAGGAACCUGCCAGGCCAGCAUGAGCCAGCCUCGGGGCGUGCUCCGCAGAAGCUCUAAACUGGACCCCGCAGACCCACAGAUCAGACCCUGGCCCCCAAGGGGCAGGCAUGACUCCCAGAAGCCUUCCCUGCAGGCUGGAGUUUGGGGACUUCCAGCACAGCACAACCUAGGUGCCGUGAGACAUGGAGGCGGCUCACCGCCCUCCCAGGGCCGGCCGGGGUCCACCGGAUACAUCUUCCCACACGGGGUGAACAAGGAGCCUCCCCUGUCUCCUGCAGUGGUGUCACCUGGUCCCCGUCCCUGUGGUAGCCAGCAGUCCAGACAGCCAGAGCGGGAGGGAG
RNAcentral lists this long non-coding RNA (371 nucleotides) under Homo sapiens (human). RNAcentral's name for it is "HSALNT0196496". Lineage: Eukaryota; Metazoa; Chordata; Mammalia; Primates; Hominidae. The record is from RNAcentral.